Molecule: long non-coding RNA, 1340 nt
Filed under: Numida meleagris (helmeted guineafowl)
Lineage: Eukaryota; Metazoa; Chordata; Aves; Galliformes; Numididae
Description: lncRNA (ENSNMEG00000000614.1)
Source: RNAcentral
AUGAAAGUGUUUUUUAGUGAUAUUACUGAACACAGAUCGCUUGGAAGAUACCGGAGUGGGAAGGACUGUGAGAAGCGUGCUCGGCUCUGCGUUACCAUCUGUCUACCCCCACUGACGGCUCAAUUUAUAAAGGGAGUGGAUGGACUGAUGUGGAUGACCCACCUAGUGAUAUUGCCAUCACAAUCUUGUUAUUUUUUCUUGGCCUGCGGUUUGUGGGAGGAAAAAGCUCCAAUAAACCAGAUACGAUUCUCCUCCUGCUCAUCUUUGAGAUUUUUCAUGCAUCAGGUUCCUUCCCUUGCUGGGAUGGGGCCAAUUCGUGGGAAGUUUUGGACUUCACCCCAAAAAGUGAUUCAGCCUUUCCAGUCCCAGACCAAACAGCUGCAGCCUUCUGUGCCAGUAGCGUUAGCUCACCUAAAGCAACCUCCCACCCCCAACAACCAGCAAAUGCAAAACAGUGGAAGUUCCUGAUUAAAAAAAUAGCAUUAAAAAACAUCUCGGAACUAUGAAGCACUGCGUUAUCGUCCUUUAACUGCAACAACAGGAGCUGCAAAUGUUUUAAACACUUUCCCAUACACAAGGUCAAAAUCUUUCACAGCCUACUGUUAUUGCAAAAGCCAAAUAUUGGGAAGGCAAGCAGUACAAAUGGUGCCAUUUAAAUCAUAGUUUAAGAUGUUCCUAGACAUCAGUACUGUGGUGGUGAUGUCAAGAUAUCCAAGUUGGCCAUGGCUGCAUUCGUACCAACCAUGCGUGUCAUAUUCAUUGAGAGCUCAGAGGUUAAUGGCACAGAGACAGGGCAUAGAGUUCUGUGGGAAUACAAUGAAAUUUGAAAACUAUUGCACAUAUUUGGGCUCUACAUCUUGUUUGGCCAUACAUAGGCCUACUUAAUGCCUUCAUGGGCCAGAGUCUGCUCCAGGGACAACCCCACUGAGACAGCUGGUGACUCAAGAUUUGCAGUUGCACAACCAAGAUUCAAGCCUGAAGGCAGUGAUUUAAUCUUUCACAUUCGGGGUGUAAAAACCUUGAGAAAUGGAAAGUAAUAGCUAAUAGUGGCCACUGGAGAUUUUAAUGUUAAAAUGUGGGAAAAAAAAAAAAAAGUACAUAAAGAGUAAAGUUAUUGCUCCAGUAUGGACUACCUCAGGUGUUGGCUGAUCACAUGCAUCCAUACUCUGCAGUGCCAACUCCAUCUCUUCAUGCAGGUGCUUUUCCCUUUGGCCUUGUUCCCCAGUGUAAAUCAGGCCACAGUUUGGCUCGGCACUGGUGUCAGGUGUCUGCCCAGUGCUUGGUUUCAUCCCAGCUCCUGGAAGUUAACCAUAAAUAAAGAUAGACCAACGUAAGAAGCA